Molecule: ribosomal RNA, 253 nt
Filed under: uncultured bacterium
Lineage: Bacteria
Description: partial 16S ribosomal RNA
Rfam family: Bacterial small subunit ribosomal RNA
Source: RNAcentral
UACGUAGGGUGCAAGCGUUGUCCGGAAUUAUUGGGCGUAAAGAGCUCGUAGGCGGUUUGUCGCGUCUGCUGUGAAAUCUUAGGGCUUAACCCUGAGCUUGCAGUGGGUACGGGCAGACUAGAGUGCGGUAGGGGAGACUGGAAUUCCUGGUGUAGCGGUGAAAUGCGCAGAUAUCAGGAGGAACACCGGUGGCGAAGGCGGUUCUCUGGGCAUGUCCUGACGCUGAGGAGCGAAAGUGUGGGGAGCGAACAGG